GACUAGCGCCUAGCGCGUUCCCGACUAGCGCCUAGCGCGUUCCCGAACAGGGGUAAUAUCUAUAUAUAUUAACAAAGAACACAUAUAUGGAAAAAGCAGUAUCACUAAGGGAUAUCUACCUUGGAAGGCCACCAAAUACUAAUGGUCCAUCAAGAGAAAAAGAUUCAGUAGAGUAAACUGAGACAUAUCGAAGAGAAACCCAAAGCUGAAAGGAGUAAA
RNAcentral lists this long non-coding RNA (219 nucleotides) under Brassica napus (rape). Its description in RNAcentral is "long non-coding RNA (BNAP_LNC014667)". The record is from RNAcentral. Lineage: Eukaryota; Viridiplantae; Streptophyta; Magnoliopsida; Brassicales; Brassicaceae.